UACGGAGGGUGCAAGCGUUAUCCGGAUUCACUGGGCUUAAAGGGUGCGUAGGUGGAGUGGUAAGUCAGUGGUGAAAUCUCCAAGCUUAACUUGGAAACUGCCGUUGAUACUAUCAUUCUUGAAUAUCGUGGAGGUAAGCGGAAUAUGUCAUGUAGCGGUGAAAUGCUUAGAUAUGACAUAGAACACCGAUUGCGAAGGCAGCUUGCUACACGAUCAUUGACACUGAGGCACGAAAGCGUGGGGAUCAAACAGG
Molecule: ribosomal RNA, 253 nt
Filed under: uncultured bacterium
Lineage: Bacteria
Description: partial 16S ribosomal RNA
Rfam family: Bacterial small subunit ribosomal RNA
Source: RNAcentral